Molecule: RNA transcript, 794 nt
Organism: Mus musculus (house mouse)
Lineage: Eukaryota; Metazoa; Chordata; Mammalia; Rodentia; Muridae
Gene: Pla2g2a
Gene name: phospholipase A2, group IIA (platelets, synovial fluid), transcript variant 1, non-coding
Exons: 5
Source: RefSeq, marked reviewed
AACAAGACAAGGCCUUGAACAAGAAACCAUACCACCAUCCAAGAGAGCUGACAGCAUGAAGGUCCUCCUGCUGCUAGCAGCCUCGAUCAUGGCCUUUGGCUCAAUACAGGUCCAAGGGAACAUUGCGCAGUUUGGGGAAAUGAUUUGGCUUAAGACAGGAAAGAGAGCUGAGCUUAGCUAUGCCUUCUAUGGAUGCCACUGUGGCCUGGGUGGCAAAGGAUUCCCCCAAGGAUGCCACAGACCGGUGCUGUGUUACUCAUGACUGUUGCUACAAGCGCCUGGAGAAAAGUGGAUGUGGUACUAAGUUACUGAAAUACAAGUACUCCCACCAAGGGGGCCAAAUCACCUGUUCUGCAAACCAGAACUCCUGUCAGAAACGGCUGUGUCAGUGCGAUAAAGCCGCCGCUGAAUGUUUCGCCCGGAACAAGAAAACCUACAGUUUAAAGUACCAGUUCUACCCCAACAUGUUUUGCAAAGGGAAGAAGCCCAAAUGCUGAAAAGAGCCAUCUCCUGAAACACCCGGACAUGCGCGUCUCCCAUCACACCUCUCCCAGCCCCACCAAGUUUCCCGGUGAUAAAGGAAACACCCCUCUCCCACCCUAGAGGCAAGGUGGGGGCCCUUCUGUCUUCACCCAGAAUGAGACACAGAAGUCUGCUGAGUCAGGCUGACCUUUCCCCACCACUCCACUGCCUUGAAUCUGUCUACUUCCACCUUUCUCUUGGCAUCCAACUUCCUGCUUCGUACCUAAGAGAGUCCUGGGAGGCCCUCACAAGUAAAGCAAUUCAUCAGACAA